AAAAACUCCGGUGGUAUGAGAUGGACCCGCGUCUGAUUAGCUGGUUGGCGGGGUAACGGCCCACCAAGGCGACGAUCAGUAGCCGACCUGAGAGGGUGACCGGCCACAUUGGGACUGAGACACGGCCCAAACUCCUACGGGAGGCAGCAGUGGGGAAUAUUGCACAAUGGGGGAAACCCUGAUGCAGCAACGCCGCGUGAGUGAAGAAGUAUUUCGGUAUGUAAAGCUCUAUCAGCAGGGAAGAAAAUGACGGUACCUGAGUAAGAAGCCCCGGCUAACUACGUGCCAGCAGCCGCGGUAAUACGUAGGGGGCAAGCGUUAUCCGGAUUUACUGGGUGUAAAGGGAGCGUAGACGGCGAUGCAAGUCUGAAGUGAAAGCCCGGGGCUCAACCCCGGGACUGCUUUGGAAACUGUAUGGCUGGAGUGCUGGAGAGGCAAGCGGAAUUCCUAGUGUAGCGGUGAAAUGCGUAGAUAUUAGGAAGAACACCAGUGGCGAAGGCGGCUUGCUGGACAGUAACUGACGUUGAGGCUCGAAAGCGUGGGGAGCAAACAGGAUUAGAUACCCUGGUAGUCCACGCU
This 579-nucleotide ribosomal RNA is filed under the name uncultured bacterium. Its description in RNAcentral is "bacterial SSU rRNA". It matches the Rfam family "Bacterial small subunit ribosomal RNA", at positions 202 to 801 of the family's 1533-position model. The record is from RNAcentral.